Molecule: long non-coding RNA, 3620 nt
Organism: Chelonia mydas (Green sea turtle)
Lineage: Eukaryota; Metazoa; Chordata; Testudines; Cheloniidae
Exons: 6
Source: RefSeq, a predicted model, not a curated record
AUUGCAUUUGCAUUUGCUCCCUUUCUGAUCACAGGCUGACAGCAGUGCUGCAAAACAUGCAGGUUUGGCCAGCUAAGCAAGACUGUUAUUAAACAGAAGAAAAAAAGGAGAGAAUUAAAAGAAGGAAGAAAUAAGGCAGCCAGUGUUUGUAUCCGUCCAUCUGCCAAAGGCCUUUUGAGGACCUCAAAAGAGAGUGAUGGGUAGAACAGUCCAUUGUCUCAUUAUUUGUUCACCAAUGAGGCCUAAUUUCUGACACACCAAUUUUGGAUCAUUGAUUGCCAAUCGCACACUCCUCUUGUUUAUCAGAUCCCACUGAAUGCCUGUUACAGAUAUUUGCAAAUAAUGAGGCAAACUGAUUAAGCAAUGUAGUAACUGGGACAUAUGAAUCAAACCAGAUUACCUCAGAGUGGAAGCACCACAAAUAUCACUUCUUCCUCCUGUCAGGGGAUUUUGCACCAUUUCAGCGGAUGGGACAGCACAUGGGUUCUAUCAAACUGUUUCACUUCUUUUAAUCCCGUCCUUCACCCAUUCUUCAAAGUGUUGGUAAAACCAAGGUUAUUCUUAAUGGGUAAUGGCAGUUAAAAAAAGAGCACAGCCAACAUGCCUUGAAUUGCACGUUGAGAUCUCUGUUAAAUGUUAAAUACAAAUGUACUGCAUUGUCUUACAAAAAUCUGGGGGGAAUGUGCACAGAGAUCACUGCUAGGUGAGGAAACCUAUGAAUUUAAAUAGAUAGAGUCCAUUUUUUGACUGCUUGGCCAUGCCCUUCCAUGGCUCCUCUAAUGAAAGACCUUUAGACAACACUUUCCAUGAUGUUUGGAGGUAGGGAGAUUCAGAGUGAUUCUGGACAACUACUUACAGACAUACUCUGCUACUCUGUUUUUUCUCUCGUGCGCCUGUGUAUAACACCGACAGAUCCUGUCGCGGGUGGGAUUGAAUCAGGGACCUCUGCAGCUUAGUGCAUGAGCCUCUACCACGUGAGCUAAAAGCCAACUGGCUGUUAGCUACAGCUGUAGAGCAAACUCAUUAAUCUCUCUCUCUCAAGUGGUCUCAGUGCCACCGGAUGGGACAGAACACCACGCCGAGGAGGUGUGUGGGUUACAUGUGCACUUGCCAGAAUUCAGCCUGUGGUUUUGAGUGGCCUCCAUAGAUACAUAACAUGCAAUAUAAUACGAUUUCAUUUUAGUACACUAGAGCAUUGAAAUUUGUUGCCAUUGUUGUAAGAGGCUGCUACUUCUACAGCUGGUGACAAAACACUUCUUGCUUUAUGGAUUAUGGCAUGAGAUUUCCACUCCACUAGAAACACGAGUGUUCUGAGUUAUUGCAUAGUCGUGCAUCCUACCCCCAUCCCCGCUUUAACUCAAGAUAAUGUCAAGAGUGUCCAGUUCUUCGUUUGAGACUAGUUGCAAAUUAAGUAUUUUCUACUUCUGUAAAAGGGAGUUGGCUGCCUGCAGGCAAAGCUUUUUGCAGAGAGGAGUGCAAAGCCUCUUGCAAAACCCAGAACUUCCUUUGUGACUACCUAAGGACACACUUCUGAUUCACAGCAAGCCUCUCUUUUUUUAGCCAUAUAUGGCAAUCCCUUAAAAGAAAAGCAAAUCAGGUAAAAAUCGAGAACAUCACAGAGAAAACCACAGGAGAUGGCUAAAUGCAGAGCUUAAUGAUACAUGCAUGACAGCAGCAGCAUGUAGGCUUAGAUUAUUUAUACCUUUUAUGGUAAGGCUCUGGUGCGGUUCUACUAUAUAAAGGUCAUAUUACACAGGUAAUCAGUGGUCUGGGCCUGUGGCAGCUCUGUAUUACUCAGCAUUUUAACAAUACUCCCGCAAUGCUGUAAGUAAAUAUGUGCAUUCUGAAAAGCAACAUAAAGUCACAGUAAGAGCCAGAACUCAAUGACAUGAAUUACAGGCAUAAUAUAAUGGCUCUGUGCAGUGUUCAUGAGACCUAGCUGGGAAUGGGCGACAGGAUGGAUCACUUGAUGAUUGCCUCUUCUGUUCAUUCCCUCUGAAGCAUUGGCCACUGUCAAAGACAGGAUCCUGAGCUAGAUGGACCUUUGGUCUGACCCAGGAUUGUUCUAAUGACAACCUGGACCAAAUACAUCCACAGUUUAAUUGCACUGUGUUCAAGGAUGAAUUUGGCCCCAUCACAAGUCAGAGUUUUGCAAUACAACAAUUAAAAUGAUGAAUAUUCAGAAGUAAAGGCAGCAGCAAACACAUAUUUCUUCCAUUUGGUUUUAAAUGAUAAGAAAGAUGGAUUAUUUUGAAUAAUGCUAUGAGGUAAAUUCCUUUACCAAAGCCUGAUGACCUGUCUGCAAGUGCCCUGUACUACAGCCUGGUAAAUCAAGGUUCCAGGCUAUCCAGGGGUACUUGGGAUGAUAGGGUGAUGAAAAUGCAGCUGAACUGACACUGCCUUUGGUUACACAGACUCUCCAAUGACUGCAAUCUCUGAGAGGGCUAGUGUGCCUCCGGAUACAUAUGUCAAUAGAGCUGAUGCUGACACAAGGGAAGGUGCAUGAGAUCUAUGAUGAAGAAAAAGCACCAUGGGAUUUUCAGAAGUUACAAGUCGUCGGGACUGCAAUUUUAAGUCUACUAAGGAUUUUCAAAUAAUGGUUCAUUGGAUAUCUGAAGGAAAUAGGAGCAGCUGGGAUUAACUAUGUGAUAGGAAAAGUAAUCACCACUGAUUCCACCUCAAGAUGCCUCUUUAUAUUAAUGGAAUUUCAAUAAGUGUGUGGCCUGGAAGCUAGGGCUAGUUGGCAUUUCUAAACUCACUACAAGCACUGCUAGAACAACAAGAUUAUUUCUCUGCCUGUGAUAAGCAGAGAGCAUUUUGUACUUUAGUUUGUGAGGAGGGCUCCUAUUAUUUAGUUAACAUUUCAACCAAACUCUGUUAACGGACUGAGACUUUGUCUGGAAAAUGAUAUUUAUGUUUAGAAGCAUGCUAUAUAUACGUGUGCAAUGUGUGUUGUGUGUUUACAUGUUAUCCCCUAAUCCUGAAACCAAAUGCUGCAUUGUAUGUGAAAACAGUGAUGAACACACUUUGAUGCCAUUUUUUGUUCUAUCUAUUCAUUGUGUAACAAAACUUCAGCCAACUUUUAGUUCCAUGAAUUCUCUUCUCCUGAUAGGAAAAAAAGUAUUACUCUAAAGAUUAUGGUGCCAUCAAAUAACUUUUAACUCUAUUAGUUGACAGUAAUUAAAAAAACCCUCAAUUUCUAUUGAUUUAAUACCAGAGCUAGGUAUUGUUAAUAUACAGAGAGAAAGCACUCUUUUUCAACAGUAGAUCUCAAAGCACUUCAUUAAGGAGGUCAGUAUCCUCCGCAUGGAGAGACUUGCCCAAAGUCACCCAGCAGGCCAGUGACAGAAUUGGGAAUAGAACCCACAGUCUCUGGAGUCCCAGUCCUGAGGUCAAACCCUCCAGUUUUAAUAGGAUGCAUUCAGCGCUAGUAUUUCUGCAGGACUCUGACUCCAUGUUAAAGGUUUAAAAAGAAAAGUAAUGAAGAGUCUGCUUCGAAUAUGACAAUAGAUUUGUCUCUAAUUUGCUUGUGUGUGGAAAAAGUGACAUGGUUGGUUGUAGAAGAGGCUGAAUCAUUACUGUUAUUGAAUGUUAAAUGAUUAAACUGUUAAAUGAUUUAA